Molecule: ribosomal RNA, 588 nt
Filed under: uncultured bacterium
Lineage: Bacteria
Description: partial 16S ribosomal RNA
Rfam family: Bacterial small subunit ribosomal RNA
Source: RNAcentral
UGGGGAAUUUUGGACAAUGGGCGAAAGCCUGAUCCAGCAAUGCCGCGUGUGUGAAGAAGGCCUUCGGGUUGUAAAGCACUUUUGUCCGGAAAGAAAUCCUUGGCUCUAAUACAGUCGGGGGAUGACGGUACCGGAAGAAUAAGCACCGGCUAACUACGUGCCAGCAGCCGCGGUAAUACGUAGGGUGCAAGCGUUAAUCGGAAUUACUGGGCGUAAAGCGUGCGCAGGCGGUUUGCUAAGACCGAUGUGAAAUCCCCGGGCUCAACCUGGGAACUGCAUUGGUGACUGGCAGGCUAGAGUAUGGCAGAGGGGGGUAGAAUUCCACGUGUAGCAGUGAAAUGCGUAGAGAUGUGGAGGAAUACCGAUGGCGAAGGCAGCCCCCUGGGCCAAUACUGACGCUCAUGCACGAAAAGCGUGGGGAGCAAAACAGGAUUAGAUACCCCUGGUAGUCCACGCCCUAAACGAUGUCAACUAGUUGUUGGGGAUUCAUUUCCUUAGUAACGUAGCUAACGCGUGAAGUUGACCGCCUGGGGAGUACGGUCGCAAGAUUAAAACUCAAAGGAAUUGACGGGGUCAUAGCUGUUUCCU